Non-coding RNA from Monodelphis domestica (gray short-tailed opossum), 54 nucleotides. NCBI's taxonomy places the organism in Eukaryota, Metazoa, Chordata, Mammalia, Didelphimorphia, Didelphidae. The record is from Rfam.
AAAGUGGCCUAUGCCACAGCCAUGGAUUGGUUUAUUGCAGUGUGUUAUGCCUUU